CCCCACGAACCGUCGUCCGGAGAAGCUCCGUGAUUCGCUCGAGAAGCUUGAGGAGCUGUUACAGACCAACUCAGUUGUUCACUCCAGAUGGAAGAGCAAGCAUUGCUGCCAGCUCAUGCUGAGCAGUGGGGUACU
Molecule: long non-coding RNA, 135 nt
Organism: Oncorhynchus tshawytscha (Chinook salmon)
Lineage: Eukaryota; Metazoa; Chordata; Actinopteri; Salmoniformes; Salmonidae
Exons: 3
Source: RefSeq, a predicted model, not a curated record